UGGGGAAUCUUCCGCAAUGGACGAAAGUCUGACGGAGCAACGCCGCGUGAGUGAAGACGGCCUUCGGGUUGUAAAGCUCUGUUAUUCGGGAAGAACGAUUCGUUUGUGAACAAUGAACGGAAUUGACGGUACCGAAAGAGAAAGCCACGGCUAACUACGUGCCAGCAGCCGCGGUAAUACGUAGGUGGCAAGCGUUGUCCGGAAUUAUUGGGCGUAAAGAGCGCGUAGGCGGUAUGGUAGGUAUGUCUUAGAUGUGCGGGGCUUAACCGCGUGAGGGGACAGAGACUGUCAUACUGGAGUCUCGGAGAGGAGAGCGGAAUUCCUAGUGUAGCGGUGAAAUGCGUAGAGAUUAGGAAGAACACCGGUGGCGAAGGCGGCUUUCUGGACGAGCACUGACGCUGAGGCGCGAAAGCGUGGGGAGCGAACAGG
This 429-nucleotide ribosomal RNA is filed under the name Fusobacteriota bacterium. RNAcentral describes it as "Fusobacteria bacterium partial 16S ribosomal RNA". It matches the Rfam family "Bacterial small subunit ribosomal RNA", at positions 355 to 776 of the family's 1533-position model. The record is from RNAcentral. Lineage: Bacteria; Fusobacteriati; Fusobacteriota.